GGUGCUCUGGAAGGGGGCGCGGCUGCCGCCUCCGAGGUCCUUGAGAUCGUUUUACUGCAAAACGCAACUCUGGUCACGCAGGGACCUGAGCGGACCACCUCGGCACUCUUCAAUUGGCCUCCCAGGACGGACUUCCGGCAAAGCCCCUGUGAGGACCCUGAAGCGUUUGCCAUGACAACCAUGGCGGGGCAAGUUCAAGCCGGGCCUCCUUUCUGCCUUGCCGGGCUUGGGGAUUGAGGGGCCUGGACCAAAGUCUGGAACCCGCAAUGUCCGCCACUGACCCUGGCGGAUGAUUGGACUGCCUUCGGUGGUACCUGAGAGGACCAGAAGAUGGUGUCAGAUCCUCGGGAGCUGGAAUUGCUGGCAGUUGUGUGUUGCCUGACAUCAUGAGUACUAGAAAGUUAACUCAGGUAUCUAUCUAUAAGAGCAGUAAGUGCUCUUAACCACUGAGCAGUGUCUCUAACCCAACAUGAUAGAUCUGUAUAUAUAAAUACAUAUAGAUAGGAAAUUAA
Molecule: long non-coding RNA, 512 nt
Organism: Mus musculus (house mouse)
Lineage: Eukaryota; Metazoa; Chordata; Mammalia; Rodentia; Muridae
Product: RIKEN cDNA D330023K18 gene
Exons: 2
Source: RefSeq, marked validated